GGGUUGUGAGGUUAAGCGACUAAGCGUACACGGUGGAUGCCCUGGCAGUCAGAGGCGAUGAAGGACGUGCUAAUCUGCGAAAAGCGUCGGUAAGGUGAUAUGAACCGUUAUAACCGGCGAUGUCCGAAUGGGGAAACCCAGUGCAAUUCGUUGCACUAUCGUUAACUGAAUACAUAGGUUAACGAGGCGAACCGGGGGAACUGAAACAUCUAAGUACCCCGAGGAAAAGAAAUCAACCGAGAUUCCCCCAGUAGCGGCGAGCGAACGGGGAGCAGCCCAGAGUCUGAAUCAGCUUGUGUGUUAGUGGAACGGUCUGGAAAGUCCGACGGUACAGGGUGAUAGUCCCGUACACCAAAAUGCACAGGUUGUGAACUCGAAGAGUAGGGCGGGACACGUGGUAUCCUGUCUGAAUAUGGGGGGACCAUCCUCCAAGGCUAAAUACUCCUGACUGACCGAUAGUGAACCAGUACCGUGAGGGAAAGGCGAAAAGAACCCCGGCGAGGGGAGUGAAAAAGAACCUGAAACCGUGUACGUACAAGCAGUGGGAGCACCUUCGGGUGUGACUGCGUACCUUUUGUAUAAUGGGUCAGCGACUUAUAUUCUGUAGCAAGGUUAACCGUAUAGGGGAGCCGCAGGGAAACCGAGUCUUAACUGGGCGUUAAGUUGCAGGGUAUAGACCCGAAACCCGGUGAUCUAGCCAUGGGCAGGUUGAAGGUUGGGUAACACUAACUGGAGGACCGAACCGACUAAUGUUGAAAAAUUAGCGGAUGACUUGUGGCUGGGGGUGAAAGGCCAAUCAAACCGGGAGAUAGCUGGUUCUCCCCGAAAGCUAUUUAGGUAGCGCCUCGUGAACUCAUCUUCGGGGGUAGAGCACUGUUUCGGCUAGGGGGUCAUCCCGACUUACCAACCCGAUGCAAACUACGAAUACCGAAGAAUGUUAUCACGGGAGACACACGGCGGGUGCUAACGUCCGUCGUGAAGAGGGAAACAACCCAGACCGCCAGCUAAGGUCCCAAAGUCAUGGUUAAGUGGGAAACGAUGUGGGAAGGCACAGACAGCCAGGAUGUUGGCUUAGAAGCAGCCAUCAUUUAAAGAAAGCGUAAUAGCUCACUGGUCGAGUCGGCCUGCGCGGAAGAUGUAACGGGGCUAAACCAUGCACCGAAGCUGCGGCAGCGACACUAUGUGUUGUUGGGUAGGGGAGCGUUCUGUAAGCCUGCGAAGGUGACCUGUGAGGGUUGCUGGAGGUAUCAGAAGUGCGAAUGCUGACAUAAGUAACGAUAAAGCGGGUGAAAAGCCCGCUCGCCGGAAGACCAAGGGUUCCUGUCCAACGUUAAUCGGGGCAGGGUGAGUCGACCCCUAAGGCGAGGCCGAAAGGCGUAGUCGAUGGGAAACAGGUUAAUAUUCCUGUACUUGGUGUUACUGCGAAGGGGGGACGGAGAAGGCUAUGUUAGCCGGGCGACGGUUGUCCCGGUUUAAGCAUGUAGGCUGGUUGUCCAGGCAAAUCCGGAUAAUCAAGGCUGAGGUGUGAUGACGAGGCACUACGGUGCUGAAGUAACAAAUGCCCUGCUUCCAGGAAAAGCCUCUAAGCAUCAGGUAACAUUAAAUCGUACCCCAAACCGACACAGGUGGUCAGGUAGAGAAUACCAAGGCGCUUGAGAGAACUCGGGUGAAGGAACUAGGCAAAAUGGUGCCGUAACUUCGGGAGAAGGCACGCUGGUGUGUAGGUGAAGCCCCUGCGGGUGGAGCUGAGACCAGUCGAAGAUACCAGCUGGCUGCAACUGUUUAUUAAAAACACAGCACUGUGCAAACACGAAAGUGGACGUAUACGGUGUGACGCCUGCCCGGUGCCGGAAGGUUAAUUGAUGGGGUUAUCCGUAAGGAGAAGCUCUUGAUCGAAGCCCCGGUAAACGGCGGCCGUAACUAUAACGGUCCUAAGGUAGCGAAAUUCCUUGUCGGGUAAGUUCCGACCUGCACGAAUGGCGUAAUGAUGGCCAGGCUGUCUCCACCCGAGACUCAGUGAAAUUGAACUCGCUGUGAAGAUGCAGUGUACCCGCGGCAAGACGGAAAGACCCCGUGAACCUUUACUAUAGCUUGACACUGAACAUUGAGCCUUGAUGUGUAGGAUAGGUGGGAGGCUUUGAAGCGUGGACGCCAGUCUGCGUGGAGCCAACCUUGAAAUACCACCCUUUAAUGUUUGAUGUUCUAACGUUGGCCCCUUACCGGGGUUGCGGACAGUGUCUGGUGGGUAGUUUGACUGGGGCGGUCUCCUCCUAAAGCGUAACGGAGGAGCACGAAGGUUAGCUAAUCCUGGUCGGACAUCAGGAGGUUAGUGCAAUGGCAUAAGCUAGCUUGACUGCGAGCGUGACGGCGCGAGCAGGUGCGAAAGCAGGUCAUAGUGAUCCGGUGGUUCUGAAUGGAAGGGCCAUCGCUCAACGGAUAAAAGGUACUCCGGGGAUAACAGGCUGAUACCGCCCAAGAGUUCAUAUCGACGGCGGUGUUUGGCACCUCGAUGUCGGCUCAUCACAUCCUGGGGCUGAAGUAGGUCCCAAGGGUAUGGCUGUUCGCCAUUUAAAGUGGUACGCGAGCUGGGUUUAGAACGUCGUGAGACAGUUCGGUCCCUAUCUGCCGUGGGCGCUGGAGAAUUGAGGGGGGCUGCUCCUAGUACGAGAGGACCGGAGUGGACGCAUCACUGGUGUUCGGGUUGUCAUGCCAAUGGCACUGCCCGGUAGCUAAAUGCGGAAGAGAUAAGUGCUGAAAGCAUCUAAGCACGAAACUUGCCCCGAGAUGAGUUCUCCCUGAGACUUUAAGUCUCCUGAAGGAACGUUGAAGACGACGACGUUGAUAGGCCGGGUGUGUAAGCGCAGCGAUGCGUUGAGCUAACCGGUACUAAUGAACCGUGAGGCUUAACCUUACAACGCCGAAG
Molecule: ribosomal RNA, 2923 nt
Filed under: Klebsiella pneumoniae
Lineage: Bacteria; Pseudomonadati; Pseudomonadota; Gammaproteobacteria; Enterobacterales; Enterobacteriaceae
Also listed under: 2 other names
Description: bacterial LSU rRNA
Rfam family: Bacterial large subunit ribosomal RNA
Source: RNAcentral